This 30-nucleotide non-coding RNA is filed under the name Rattus norvegicus (Norway rat). Lineage: Eukaryota; Metazoa; Chordata; Mammalia; Rodentia; Muridae. The record is from RNAcentral.
UGGGCAUCUUGUGAUGAGGAAGGGGUCAUU